This is a long non-coding RNA of Carya illinoinensis, 1638 nucleotides long. RefSeq lists it as uncharacterized. Lineage: Eukaryota; Viridiplantae; Streptophyta; Magnoliopsida; Fagales; Juglandaceae. The record is from RefSeq and is a predicted model, not a curated record. The transcript has 2 exons.
AUCAGAGUAGAUCCAUCUACGUUUGUCGUCGAGGACGGGCCACGUAGGCUUUACCAUUGCAAAAUCUCUCGGGGAGCUCCUAAAGCUGCCGAAAGUUGGUCCUCCUAAGAAAAUGCUUCGCUCUCCCUUUCUCACCUAACUCUCUCCUGUGUGAACUUAUCGCAGGGGCCGGGGGGAGAAUCCACUGUGUACCAAGUCUGAGUGGCACUUAGAGCAAGCGCGAGUAAUGCGCCAAGAAAAGCAAGCACCGUCCAGGGGCUCUUGAAAUAAUUUUCUCUGAGUUCGCCCAACCAUUUCCACCGUUUUUUGUCGCAGUAUUUCUGAAUCUGAGUCCAGACGUGAUUAUGCUCGUCGUCGUCAGGCACCAAGUUGGUGCCUAUCUCAUUGAAGAGCUCAGCCACGUCUUCGUCGCUGCCGAGGAGGUUGAAGAGAACAUUUGCUUUUCGUAGUUCCUUGACGUCGUUGGUGUUAUCGAUGAGUGAAUCGAGGAAAGAUACGUAAGAGGUGAUGCCCUUUUAGGAGUCCAGACACAUUUCGUAGGCUAUUAAGUUCAAUAACUUCGACCCCGUUGAGUCGUCCACUAUUAGCGGAGGAAGCCAGAGGACUCCUGGGAGGCAGUUGAUCAGGUUUCUACCAAAAGCUAUGUUUCUCAAGGAAUUACCUUCACUUCGCUUCACAUGGAUUCCUGCUGCUUUAAGCAUCUGCACGGUGCUAUAAAUUGAGCUACGCUUUGGUGCCCUGUCUCUCUGGUUUGUCGGUCGAUUUCCUUCUGUUUUUUCAUUUUCCUUUGCGUUGCCUAGAAGACUUGCCCUCAGAAGGUCGAGAAGAUGGGUCGGGUUUUCUGGUGGCUUCCAAGAUUGCGGAUCCGAGCUGUUGUCCAUUAGUACCAUUUGUUGGUUUCUUCUAAUGAAUUCUCCGACCGAAUCCCUCAACUCGUUUCCAACUUUGCUCAACCCCAUCAACAACUCGAGGAGACGAUAGGGAACUUGGUUCUCCAGCAAGAACAAAUCCUGUUCACAAAAGGCUACACUGUCAUUUUUUAUACCAAAAUCUUUGAACUUGUCUUUAAUAGCUAGGUCAAUGUAUUGAAGGAUUGCGCAACCGUCGAUGACCAAUAUCCAGGCGAGGUCAACAUCGUUAUACUUCUUCGUCACCUCCUCCUCGAAGCACUCCCUGAGUUCCUUAAUUCAGAGCCCCUUCGGACCGGUCGGGCUAUUCUUCUCAUAAUAACAGCCCUCAAUGAGAACAAGCCACGUCAGUAAGUCUACCCAAAGCAAGUUGAAGCUUAUCACACCAGAUCAAUCACAGACCCCUACUCGAUGGAAAGAAUCCUUCAGCAGCCCUCCAUCAUUCAAGUCGCCGCAGGAUUGCAUUUCAGAUAUCACCGUUGUCUGUCACCAUUUGUCCGUUGCCGCCAUCCCCUCAGCCCAUGCAUGUUAAUAUUUCAAUUUGGGUCUCUUUCUUAUAGGUCUGCUUUGCCACCGGUGCCUUUAUCACACAAGAUCUUCUAAUUUCUUUUUCUCUGUAAUUUUGGUCGCAAGGUCUCUACUGCUGCUAUUGAUUAUUGAUUUACUCCAGCACCUUGCUAUACAUGAGCAUUUGCUUACAAUGAAAAGAAAUUCAGGGAUGGUUCAUGAA